CGGACGGGUGAGUAACACGUGGAUAACCUACCUAUAAGACUGGGAUAACUUCGGGAAACCGGAGCUAAUACCGGAUAAUAUAUUGAACCGCAUGGUUCAAUAGUGAAAGACGGUUUUGCUGUCACUUAUAGAUUGAUCCGCGCCGCAUUAGCUAGUUGGUAAGGUAACGGCUUACCAAGGCAACGAUGCGUAGCCGACCUGAGAGGGUGAUCGGCCACACUGGAACUGAGACACUGUCCAG
This 241-nucleotide ribosomal RNA is filed under the name uncultured Staphylococcus sp. Its description in RNAcentral is "partial 16S ribosomal RNA". It matches the Rfam family "Bacterial small subunit ribosomal RNA", at positions 99 to 334 of the family's 1533-position model. The record is from RNAcentral. Lineage: Bacteria; Bacillati; Bacillota; Bacilli; Caryophanales; Staphylococcaceae.